This 459-nucleotide ribosomal RNA is filed under the name uncultured bacterium. RNAcentral's name for it is "partial 16S ribosomal RNA". It matches the Rfam family "Bacterial small subunit ribosomal RNA", at positions 338 to 795 of the family's 1533-position model. The record is from RNAcentral.
CCUACGUGAGGCAGCAGUGAGGAAUAUUGGUCAAUGGGCGCGAGCCUGAACCAGCCAAGUCGCGUGAGGGAAGACGGUCCUAUGGAUUGUAAACCUCUUUUGUCGGGGAGCAAAAGACGCCACGCGUGCCGUUCCGAGAGUACCCGAUGAAAAAGCAUCGGCUAACUCCGUGCCAGCAGCCGCGGUAAUACGGAGGAUCCGAGCGUUAUCCGGAUUUAUUGGGUUUAAAGGGUGCGCAGGGGGAAGAUAAAGUCAGCGGUAAAAUUGUGAGGCUAAACCGCUUAGUGCAAUUGAUACUGGUUUCCUUGAGUAAGGGAGAAGUAUGCGGAAUGCGUGGUGUAGCGGUGAAAUGCUUAGAUAUCACGAAGAACUCCGAUUGCGAAGGCAGCCUACCAGCGCGCAACUGACGCUCAUGCACGAAAGUGUGGGUAUCGAACAGGAUUAGAUACCCGAGUAGUC